This 253-nucleotide ribosomal RNA is filed under the name uncultured bacterium. RNAcentral's name for it is "partial 16S ribosomal RNA". It matches the Rfam family "Bacterial small subunit ribosomal RNA", at positions 524 to 776 of the family's 1533-position model. The record is from RNAcentral.
UACGUAGGGUGCAAGCGUUGUCCGGAAUUAUUGGGCGUAAAGAGCUCGUAGGCGGUUUGUCGCGUCGAAUGUGAAAACCCGGGGCUCAACUCCGGGCCUGCAUUCGAUACGGGCAGACUAGAGUUCGGUAGGGGAGACUGGAAUUCCUGGUGUAGCGGUGAAAUGCGCAGAUAUCGGGAGGAACACCAGUAGCGAAGGCGGCACUCUGGGCCGGUACUGACGCUGAGGAGCGAAAGCGUGGGGAGCGAACAGG